RNAcentral lists this ribosomal RNA (253 nucleotides) under uncultured bacterium. RNAcentral's name for it is "partial 16S ribosomal RNA". It matches the Rfam family "Bacterial small subunit ribosomal RNA", at positions 524 to 776 of the family's 1533-position model. The record is from RNAcentral.
UACAGAGGUGGCAAGCGUUGUUCGGAAUUACUGGGCGUAAAGGGCGCGUAGGCGGCCUGGGAAGUCUUGGGUGAAAGCCCCCGGCUCAACCGGGGAAGGGCCUGAGAAACCACUGGGCCGGAGUGCUGGAGAGGAAAGCAGAAUUCCUGGUGUAGCGGUGAAAUGCGUAGAGAUCAGGAGGAAUACCUGCGGCGAAGGCGGCUUUCUGGACAGACACUGACGCUGAGGCGCGAAAGCCAGGGGAGCAAACAGG